Molecule: ribosomal RNA, 440 nt
Filed under: uncultured bacterium
Lineage: Bacteria
Description: partial 16S ribosomal RNA
Rfam family: Bacterial small subunit ribosomal RNA
Source: RNAcentral
CCUACGGGGGGCUGCAGUGGGGAAUAUUGGACAAUGGGGGCAACCCUGAUCCAGCCAUGCCGCGUGAAUGAUGAAGGCCUUCGGGUUGUAAAGUUCUUUUGGGUGGGACGAUGAUGACGGUACCACCAGAAUAAGCUCCGGCUAACUUCGUGCCAGCAGCCGCGGUAAUACGAAGGGAGCUAGCGUUGUUCGGAAUUACUGGGCGUAAAGGGUGCGUAGGCGGUUUAACAAGUCAGGUGUGAAAGCCCCGAGCUCAACUCGGGAACUGCGCUUGAGACUGUUAGGCUUGAAUUCGGAAGAGGUGAGUGGAAUUCCCAGUGUAGAGGUGAAAUUCGUAGAUAUUGGGAAGAACACCGGUGGCGAAGGCGGCUCACUGGUCCGACAUUGACGCUGAGGCACGAAAGCGUGGGGAGCAAACAGGAUUAGAUACCCCAGUAGUC